AUUGUUGUUUCCUGGGCGGGUUCGCUCGCCACCAGGACCACCAAAUAAACCUUUUUUAUGCAGUUGCAAUCAGCGUCAGUACAAACAAUGUAAAUCAUUUACAACUUUCAACAACGGAUCUCUUGGUUCUGGCAUCGAUGAAGAACGCAGCGAAAUGCGAUACGUAGUGUGAAUUGCAGAAUUCAGUGAAUCAUCGAAUCUUUGAACGCACAUUGCGCCCUUUGGUAUUCCAAAGGGCAUGCCUGUUCGAGCGUCAUUUGUACCCUCAAGCUUUGCUUGGUGUUGGGCGUUUUUGUCUUUGGUCGCCCAAAGACUCGCCUUAAAGUGAUUGGCAGCCGGCCUUUCUGGUUUCGCAGCGCAGCACAUUUUUGCGCUUGCCAUCAGCAAAACGGCAAUCCAUCAAGCCUCCUUCUCACGUUUGACCUCGGAUCAGGUAGGGAUACCCGCUGAACUUAAGCAUAUCAAUAAGCGGAGGAAAAGAAACCAACAGGGAUUGCCCUAGUAACGGCGAGUGAAGCGGCAACAGCUCAAUUUGAAAUCUGGCUCU
Molecule: unclassified non-coding RNA, 547 nt
Filed under: Curvularia sp. I JC-2012
Lineage: Eukaryota; Fungi; Ascomycota; Dothideomycetes; Pleosporales; Pleosporaceae
Description: sequence contains ITS1, 5.8S rRNA gene and ITS2
Rfam family: 5.8S ribosomal RNA (bases 103-256)
Source: RNAcentral